This 350-nucleotide ribosomal RNA is filed under the name uncultured bacterium. RNAcentral describes it as "bacterial SSU rRNA". It matches the Rfam family "Bacterial small subunit ribosomal RNA", at positions 355 to 719 of the family's 1533-position model. The record is from RNAcentral.
UGGGGAAUUUUCCGCAAUGGGCGAAAGCCUGACGGAGCAAUACCGCGUGAGGGAAGACUGCCUAUGGGUUGUAAACCUCUUUUUUCAGGGAGGAAUAAAUGACGUGUACCUGAAGAAUAAGCAUCGGCUAACUCCGUGCCAGCAGCCGCGGUAAGACGGAGGAUGCAAGUGUUAUCCGGAAUCACUGGGCGUAAAGCGUCUGUAGGUGGUUUAAUAAGUCAACUGUUAAAUCUUGAGGCUCAACUUCAAAAUCGCAGUCGAAACUAUUAGACUAGAGUAUAGUAGAGGUAAAGGGAAUUUCCAGUGGAGCGGUGAAAUGCGUAGAUAUUGGAAAGAACACCGAUGGCGAA